AAUUGCUCAGACAAAUCUACGAACUAUGAAAAAAGAUCUCAGGCCGCAGGGAUAGACGACCAGUGGGAACUACUGUUGAGACUCAGGGAGAAAAAGAGAGUCUACACCCUCUGGAAGAAGGGACAGGCUACUUGGGGAGAUUACAAGGAAGUAGCUAAGGUAUGCAGGGAAGAAGUUAAGAGGGCAAAAGCCCAACUUGAACUCAGAUUGGCUACUGCAGUAAAAGACAAUAAAAAAUCCUUUUAUAAAUAUAUCAACGGCAAAAGAAGAAACAAGGAUAAUUCUCAUCCUUUAAUUGAUGCAGCAGGGAAUGUGGCCACUGAGGACAGGGAGAAGGCUGAGAUCCUCAAUACCUUCUUUACAUCUGCCUUUAAUAGCCAGACCAGUUGUCUGGGAUGCUACUCAGAAGACACCCCCAGCGAUUCAGGUGGAGAGAGUGAGAGAGCUCCUCCUCCAUCUCGACUGUCACAAGUCCAUGGGACCAGAUGGCCUACACCCUCAGGUGCUGAGGUGAUUGCCGAGCCGAUCUUGGCCAUUUAUCAGUGCUCCUGGCUAACUGGAGAGGUCCCAGAGGAUUGGAGGCUUGCUGAUGUGACUCCUAUAUUCAAGAAGGGCCGUAAGGAGGAUCUGGGGAAUUAUAGGCCUGUCAGCCUGACCUCGGUACUGGGGAAAAUAAUGAAGCAAAUCCUCUUGGGUGAGAUCAUGCGGCAUGUGCAUGGUGUUCAGGGGAUCAGGCCCAGCCAGCACGGGUUCAUGAAAGGCAGGUCGUGCUUGACCAACCUCAUCUCCUUCUACGACUGGGUGACCAGACUGGUAGAUGAGGGAAAGGCUGUUGAUGUAGUUUCCCUAGACUUCAGCAAAACCUUUGACAUGGUCUCUAACAGGCUUCUUCUGGGGAAACUGGCUGCCUGUGGCCUGGACAGGUAUACUGUCCUUUGGGUAAGAAACUGGCUAGAGGGCCAUGCCCAACGGGUGGUGGUUAAUGGAGUUAAGUCCAGUUGGCGACCUGUUUACUGA
Molecule: long non-coding RNA, 1017 nt
Filed under: Phasianus colchicus (ring-necked pheasant)
Lineage: Eukaryota; Metazoa; Chordata; Aves; Galliformes; Phasianidae
Description: lncRNA (ENSPCLG00000004168.1)
Source: RNAcentral